Anopheles cruzii is the source of this 936-nucleotide long non-coding RNA. RefSeq lists it as uncharacterized. The record is from RefSeq and is a predicted model, not a curated record. NCBI's taxonomy places the organism in Eukaryota, Metazoa, Arthropoda, Insecta, Diptera, Culicidae. The transcript is spliced from 3 exons.
UGAAUCAGCAAGUGAAGAUAAUCGAAUAUGUACAAACUUGUAACUCUUCUUAUGUAGAAGAGAUGAUUAUGCCGGAUCUAGUGCUUUGCGAGAUUCUGCCUCAACCGACAACAACCAAUACCGCAGACUGCAACAGCUGCAGUGCCCUACUGUCGCGGGUGGUGGAGCUGGAUGCUAAGAUUUCCGCUCAGGAGCAGCGCGUCGCGCGGCUGGAACAGUUGGAGGCUAAAGUCUGCGUUCAACACGAGUUGGAGAAACGUAUCGCGUGGCUGGAGGAGCAAAUUUCCACUCAGCAGACGAUGUUUUCGACGCCACCAGUCGCAAUGCAAGUGCAAGUCAUCGCCGUCCCUGCUUCAUCCGACCCGCAGCUCCCUGCUUCCAAUUCAGAUGGGCUUCCCCAGCUUCCGGUGCGCUGCCUGGAGCAGCUCAUGAAUUUGGAAGCAGCAUCACCACAAUGCUUCCCACAAGUGCUAAAUUACAUGCUGUCAAAAACACAACCCAGCCCAAAAAUGAAGGGUGACAAAGUUUUGAAAAAAAUAGUUGAUUUCUAUUUUGACCGGCAGUUUUUGAAUACAUGUGUGUGGAUAUGGCAGAGAGCCAAAAGACCCAUUGUAUUGUCGAAGUAUAAAAAAACCUUGCGGGUGCUGUAUAAGGUAACGCAGCAUUACGACGACACCUAUGAGUAUAAGGAGUUCGAAAGGAAAAUGUCCUUAUACGUCAAACACUCGCAGUUUAGAUGCAAAACCGAACCUCGGCGAUAUUUGUAACAAAAAUAACAACACUCCAACACACCCAAAAACUGUGGGUGCCUUCCCUAACACGCAAAGACAGAGAGUUUCUGGUGUGGCUGCAACUUUGACAAUACCCGAUGCCUGAUGACUCACUCUUGGACUGCCAGUUUGCACCAGUAUUCUGAACGAGAUCAGCCCCGGUGCC